GCCGAUGUGGCGGAAUGGCAGACGCAAGCGACUCAAAAUCGCUCGGGAAACCAUGUGGGUUCGAGUCCCACCAUCGGCA
Molecule: transfer RNA, 79 nt
Filed under: Faecalibacterium prausnitzii
Lineage: Bacteria; Bacillati; Bacillota; Clostridia; Eubacteriales; Oscillospiraceae
Also listed under: 2 other names
Description: tRNA-Leu
Rfam family: tRNA
About the family: Transfer RNA (tRNA) molecules are approximately 80 nucleotides in length. Their secondary structure includes four short double-helical elements and three loops (D, anti-codon, and T loops). Further hydrogen bonds mediate the characteristic L-shaped molecular structure. tRNAs have two regions of fundamental functional importance: the anti-codon, which is responsible for specific mRNA codon recognition, and the 3' end, to which the tRNAs corresponding amino acid is attached (by aminoacyl-tRNA synthetases). tRNAs cope with the degeneracy of the genetic code in two manners: having more than one tRNA (with a specific anti-codon) for a particular amino acid; and 'wobble' base-pairing, i.e. permitting non-standard base-pairing at the 3rd anti-codon position.
Source: RNAcentral